Molecule: ribosomal RNA, 253 nt
Filed under: uncultured bacterium
Lineage: Bacteria
Description: partial 16S ribosomal RNA
Rfam family: Bacterial small subunit ribosomal RNA
Source: RNAcentral
UACGUAGGGUGCAAGCGUUGUCCGGAAUUAUUGGGCGUAAAGAGCUCGUAGGCGGUUUGUCGCGUCUGCUGUGAAAAUCCGAGGCUCAACCUCGGACCUGCAGUGGGUACGGGCAAACUAGAGUGCGGUAGGGGAGAAGGGAAUUCCUGGUGUAGCGGUGGAAUGCGCAGAUAUCAGGAGGAACACCGAUGGCGAAGGCACUUCUCUGGGCCGUAACUGACGCUGAGGAGCGAAAGCGUGGGGAGCGAACAGG